RNAcentral lists this long non-coding RNA (1054 nucleotides) under Lepidothrix coronata (blue-crowned manakin). Its description in RNAcentral is "lncRNA (ENSLCOG00000004117.1)". The record is from RNAcentral. Lineage: Eukaryota; Metazoa; Chordata; Aves; Passeriformes; Pipridae.
CCUUGCUCUUCUCUCCGUUCUCCCGCCUCCCUUUCCCCCGUGGUUAUUUUGGAUCAAGCUGUGGCGGCGGAAGGAGCCUGAAGUCAACGCUUCCGCCCAGUUUUCCUGUGAGGAGGAGGCGGGGGCGGCCGCGAGGAGCCGAGGCGGCGGCAGCGGCCGCUAAUGGAGUUACUGCUGGGGAGGAAGCGCCGCCGCUGAACUUCCCUGCGGGCUUUCUCCCUCUUCUCCCCCUCGUCCUGCGGCCGGGGGCUCCUCUCUCGCCCUGGCAGCUCCGCUCCCCCUCCCUCCCCGCGCCUCUCCUCACACAAACAGCCGUGACGCAUCCUCGUUCUCCGCCGUCCCCCCCCUUCCCACCCCCAGGCUGGUUUAAAACGCCUCCCUCCCCCCGUCACCAGCCUUCUCCUUGGGGCCGGCGCGUCUUCCCUCCGCAGUGGUCGGCGUCGCUUUGGAGGGGGUGGGAGAGCCCCGUCGAGCGUCUCUACCCCCCUUUUCCCGUCCCCCCCCCUUCCUUCCCCGCCUGUCCCGGCCUGUGGCAGCUCCGGUGUCUGGAGGAAUUUGUGCCGCCGCCUGCCCCGGCUGUGCGCGGGAGGCGGGCGGGCAGGGAGGGAGGCGGCCGAGCAGCAGGAGGAGGAGAAGGAGGAGGAGGGCAGCAGCGAAGGCGGCUGCAGCGGGAGAUGAGCUGCAGCGGGAGGACGGUGCGGUGCAGCUUUUUGCGGCAGGAAUCCGUCCCUUGUCUCUACAACUCUGUCCCCCUUUAACCGGGAGCAGCUCGAGAACAGAAGAUCCGUGGUUGUUGCUGCUGUUAGCACCACUACCUUCACCACCACCAUCAUCACCUUUUAAGAUAAGGGAAAUACGCUGCACCGCCGGACAACAGGAUUUCGCGUUUCCAGGAUAAAGACCGCUCUCCUCCCCCUUUUCCCUUCUUCUCCCUCACUUCACCGCACGGCCCGUGCCCUGGCCGGGGGCGGCGGACCGGGGGGGUAACAAUGGUGAAGUUUCUGGUGAGUUCUGGCUGCGCCCUGGCUGCGUCGGUGCUGCUCCGUGUGCCUGU